Molecule: ribosomal RNA, 253 nt
Filed under: uncultured bacterium
Lineage: Bacteria
Description: partial 16S ribosomal RNA
Rfam family: Bacterial small subunit ribosomal RNA
Source: RNAcentral
UACGGAGGGUGCAAGCGUUAUCCGGAUUCACUGGGUUUAAAGGGUGCGUAGGCGGUCUUAUAAGUCAGUGGUGAAAUCUCUCAGCUUAACUGAGAAACUGCCGUUGAUACUGUAGGACUUGAGUACAGAUGAUGUUGGCGGAAUAUGACAUGUAGCGGUGAAAUGCAUAGAUAUGUCAUAGAACACCGAUUGCGAAGGCAGCUGACAAAACUGUAACUGACGCUGAGGCACGAAAGUGUGGGGAUCAAACAGG